RNAcentral lists this ribosomal RNA (609 nucleotides) under Peribleptus dealbatus. RNAcentral describes it as "partial 16S ribosomal RNA". Lineage: Eukaryota; Metazoa; Arthropoda; Insecta; Coleoptera; Curculionidae. The record is from RNAcentral.
UUCUUGAAAAUUAAAAAAGUUGGCGGUGUUUUAGUCUAUCAGAGGAACCUGUUCUAUAAUUGAUAGUCCACGAUUUUAAUUACUUAUUUUUUUUUAAUUUACAUAUCGCUGUAGUUGAGUAUUUUUAAAGAAUUAAAUAUUCAAGAAUUUUUAUGAAAAUAAAUCAGGUCAAGGUGUAGUUUAUAGAUAAGUAGAAAUGGGUUACAAUAAAUUUAUUUAGACGGAUUAAAAUUUGUAAAAUUUUAUGAAGGUGGAUUUGAGAGUAAUUUUAAAUAAAUUUUUAAAAUGAUUUUAGCUCUAAAAUAUGUACAUAUCGCCCGUCGCUUUCAUUUUAAAAUGAAAUAAGUCGUAACAUAGUAGAUGUACUGGAAAGUGUAUCUAGUAACAAACUAAAGCUUAGAAAGUAUUUUAUUUACAUUAAAAAGAUUAUUGAAUUACAAUAUGGUUUGAAAAGAAAAAAUUAUUUAUUAUUGUAAAUUUUAUUUAUAUUAAAUAAAAUAAUAUUAGUUUUAUUAUUAUUUAAGAAAAAAUAUGUUUAAUUAUAGAUUAUUAGUAUUGAGAAAGAAUUUAUUUAUUUAUUUAAAAGAAAAGUUUAAUUUUUGUACCUGG